Molecule: non-coding RNA, 71 nt
Organism: Pangasius djambal
Lineage: Eukaryota; Metazoa; Chordata; Actinopteri; Siluriformes; Pangasiidae
Source: the annotation of a GenBank genome assembly
UCCUGGAGGACUAGUGGUUAGGCCGCAGCGCUCUUACUGCUGUGGCUCGGGUUCGAUUCCUGGCCCGGGAA